GUGAAUCAUCGAAUUUUUGAACGCAAAUUGCACUUUCUGGUAUUCCGGAGAGCAUGCCUGUUUGAGGGUCAGUUAAACCAACAUCGCUGUUGUGGCUGCCCGUAGGGGUGUGUUAUGCAUCGGAAGGGAGACGUUCUUUACAUUUGGUUUAAGUGACGUAAAAUUAUGUUCGAUUUUUGAAAGUAUUUAAAUUAUUACUUACGUCCGUAAUAUCAAUUAUUAGGUGCGGUCAUUCACAUGAUUUCGCGUCUAUAAUUUUUCAUUACUUGACCUCAAAUCAGUUAAGAAUACCCGCUGAA
Molecule: unclassified non-coding RNA, 299 nt
Filed under: Glomus sp.
Lineage: Eukaryota; Fungi; Glomeromycota; Glomeromycetes; Glomerales; Glomeraceae
Description: partial contains 5.8S ribosomal RNA, internal transcribed spacer 2, and large subunit ribosomal RNA
Rfam family: 5.8S ribosomal RNA (bases 1-71)
Source: RNAcentral